Molecule: long non-coding RNA, 2162 nt
Organism: Monopterus albus (swamp eel)
Lineage: Eukaryota; Metazoa; Chordata; Actinopteri; Synbranchiformes; Synbranchidae
Exons: 3
Source: RefSeq, a predicted model, not a curated record
CCCCAGUCCAAACUGACCAAAAGGCAUUGGUUACGGCUCUUCAAACAACCUGCAGUCUGUGCUGUGAUUGUUACGCACCUUUGCGCAGCGAGCACUUUCUUCACUCUUUUGUCAUGGCUGCCAACAUUCUUUAAAGACACUUUCACAGAUGCCAAGGGCUGGGUGUUUAACGUCAUUCCUUGGUUUGUUGCCAUUCCCUCAUCCCUCCUCAGCGGCUGCCUGUCCAACCACCUCAUCGGCCAAGGUAGAGAAACCAAGGAAUUCUUUUUAAAUCUAGUUUAUUAUUGACAAAGCAGUGAUAUAAUUUCCUGUUGUAAUUUCUGUCUUGAUCCCCUUCAGGCUUCGAUACAGCCUCCGUGAGGAAGUUGAUGCAGGUACAAUAUUUGACAGUUGCUUCAUUAUUUUGUUUAGUCUUUCUGUAGAUUUCCUUCUACUCACACAGUGUGAAUGUUCUUUCCUCUUUACACUUUCACAUAAUGCAGAUAUUGUUUUUAUGUGGUUUUGUGUGCACAUAUUCCUCUCUCUGUUUUUCUCCAUGGGUGUGUCCAGUGCGUUUACCCUUCUUCUAUGUAACAACCCCACCUUUCCCUGAGCUGUAGCAUUUGUGUCCACCACCAUGGGCCUCACCACCUUCAGUCACAGAUACUGGCACCUACAGUGUUCUCGUAUUCUGUCACUGCCCCUGAAAACAACAUUUCUUAUGCUUGUUGUUGUAGCUGUGAUUGUUGCACUUGGUCGCAAGGAUGAACUAAGUAGAUGUCGGUGGUCAAAGGCCAAGGUCACAGUGACGUCAUGUCUGUCCCAUUCCCAUGAAUUUGAUUGGUUAUGGAGGCAUACCCCCACAAAGUGCUAAUUCUAGUUAGAUUUAAAUGUGGGGUUCCCCAAGGGUCAGUGUAGCAGCAAAGCCUAAAGUUAAAUGUUUUCCAUAACCAUGGUUCCAUAAAUCCAACACAUCAUAUUAUGUGGCAUGGUGUUGUAAAGCGUGGAGUGGAGCAGAGUGCAGCGAUCAAAAACCGUUUGCAUCCUCCAUCUAGCAACACCUGCCACCCGACUGAUGGUUCCUACCAACAGCAUAUUGCAUCUAACCCCUGCACAAAGUGACACCUACUGGUCUCCAUAGUGACUUUACAUUAUAAAUGGCUCCUACAGGUUAGUGUGUCAGUUUUGUUUUGUGUGCUCCCUAAUGGUGAUGACAAUACAUUCAUUUCCAUUACAAUGCAGAGAGCACCACAUAGUAGUAAAUAUCCCACCAUAUUUUCCAGAGAACAAGAUACGAUGUGGCUCAUACAGCUCGGCUGAUAUUAGACCUGCAGUUAAAAAGUGUGGUGUGCUGUUUAACUUUGUGUUUUUGCAGUCUUUGCUUUAAUUAAGGAACCUUAAUUUAUUAUCCUUUAUUUGUCCUGUAAAAUGUAAUGCCUGCUAAAAUUUGGUGAUUGGGUGCUUACAUUCUUAAUAACGCUAUUUAAGUUUCAAAAGCAGUGUUUUCAGCAAAAGAAAGUAAACCGUGCUUUUGCUAUGGGCUACUGAGUUAUUUACACAGCAGGACAGUGGAUGUGGAAUUGAAACAUAAUCACACGUUUGAAGAAAUAGGCUUAAAAUAGUUUUUUUUUGUUUUUUUUAUGUAUUUUCACUGUGUUAUUUUAAAGGUCCUCUAUAGUUAUAUUAGAAAUACUGCAGUAAUAGUUGUAUAGCACUAGGAUUUUAUACUUUCACGUUUCAACAUUUAAAAUAUGAUAACAGUGUUGUAAAAUGAUAUAAAUCGCAAAAUUUGAGAUCAGCUACUGUGUUUCACAAAUACUAAAAAAAAAAGAGAGACCAUUUUCAAAAGAACAAUAAAAAUAAAAUAUAAGUCUCCACUAAUUAACUGGACCCAGUUAGUGUGUGUGAAGCUAAAUGUGCAUAUUUAUCACACAGGCCAUUAAUGUAAACACAUUACAAAGUGAAUGUGGUACAUUUGUCUGGUAUUAUGUUGUUUUUACUGCCAACAAUUGCCAUGAAAUGUCCAAAACCUACAGUGGGUUAGUCUAUUUCUUAACUUUCCAACUUCAAGUAGGGUGUGUAUUUCAGCCCCAAGCCUUGUUGUUGCUACUGAGGGGUUCUUUUAAAAUCAGAAUCAGAAUCAGCUUUAUUGGCCAAGUGUGUUGGACACAUGAGGAAUUUGA